AUUGAACGCUGGCGGCAGGCCUAACACAUGCAAGUCGAGCGGAUGAAGGGAGCUUGCUCCUGGAUUCAGCGGCGGACGGGUGAGUAAUGCCUAGGAAUCUGCCUGGUAGUGGGGGAUAACGUCCGGAAACGGGCGCUAAUACCGCAUACGUCCUGAGGGAGAAAGUGGGGGAUCUUCGGACCUCACGCUAUCAGAUGAGCCUAGGUCGGAUUAGCUAGUUGGUGGGGUAAAGGCCUACCAAGGCGACGAUCCGUAACUGGUCCGAGAGGAUGAUCAGUCACACUGGAACUGAGACACGGUCCAGACUCCUACGGGAGGCGGCAGUGGGGAAUAUUGGACAAUGGGCGAAAGCCUGAUCCAGCCAUGCCGCGUGUGUGAAGAAGGUCUUCGGAUUGUAAAGCACUUUAAGUUGGGAGGAAGGGCAGUAAGUUAAUACCUUGCUGUUUUGACGUUACCAACAGAAUAAGCACCGGCUAACUUCGUG
This 484-nucleotide ribosomal RNA is filed under the name uncultured bacterium. Its description in RNAcentral is "partial 16S ribosomal RNA". It matches the Rfam family "Bacterial small subunit ribosomal RNA", at positions 30 to 507 of the family's 1533-position model. The record is from RNAcentral.